AUAAAAUAGCAUUCACCUACUCACCUGUUGUUUACAAUUACUCACCUACAUACUUACCUAUUGUUUAGUGUUAAGUAAACUCGCUCGGUGUUUAUUUCACUAGUUUGAUGUUUAUUCGCUAGUUAUGUUGAACUCCUUUUACUGAAAUUAUUUUGGCCAGUCAUUGUAUGCACAUUUAGUUACUGAAUAAACGGGCUUGGUGUUUACAAGUUAACAGGGGCUUGGUGUUUACCAGUUGCUAAGGACUCGGUGUUUUUACAAACAGGCUUGGUCUGUAAGAAAUAAUGAUCACUCGUGAGGAGUAAAGGUCUGCAGUUACUGGAACAGAUGAAUGCCUUUCCAAAUAUUCCAACUUUUGCGUUUCCAUGCUUGAUUAAUGUGUUUGAUAGUAAUAAGUGUACGUGUUUCAAAAUUAUGAGUUAAUUACUCGUUUCAUGAGAGUUUAAUCUAGGUUUAUCGAGGUGUUGGAAUAACUUUACAAGUGAAUUUUUUUUAUGUGAUAUAAUUCGUUUUGCGAGAGUUUAAUUUAGAUUAAUUGAGGAGUUUUACAAUCGGGAUUAAUAGAACUUUGUUAUCAUGUUAUUAUCCAUUGUUAAGUAGUAAUACAUUUGACGAUAAUGUGUGUGUUUGGAUAUGUUACACUUUAUUUUGUCCAAGUUAGCCUAGCUUAAGUCACUGCAGUGAGGAUUGGUAGAACAACUCUGUUUCCAUGGUUAAGUACUGUAUUUAACAGGUAUGAAGUUGCUGCCGUGUUAGCUUAAUGAUUACUUCCGCAGCUUAUCGUGUCAUUGCUUUUUAUUGAAGAUAUAUUGACAGGAAAGGUCGUUGAUCCGAAAACAAAUCAACCAAAUGUGAAGCAUAGUUGGGUUUCAAAUGCCAGAAAGGCUGUGGAUGUUGUAUUUAGUUCAGAACCAUGGACAGUGUCGUGGAGAGCCAAUACCAUUAUGCUGGAAUAUUAUGAGUUAAUUGAGGAGUUCAUGUCUGCCGUCAAGCAGAACUAUGGUGAAAAAGUCCUUGUGCAGUUUUAGAAGAUAUUCUAGAAGAAUGGGCAAUUUAUGUGUCGAAUUUCAUUUUUAGGUAGAAAGUAUUGUAAACCGCAUUUAACUAAUUAUCGGUAUCUAUUUGGACAUGAAUCGUUAUGUAAUGAAUUGGUGACACAUGGUUUCGAUAUAUAUGAAAUGCAUUAAUUUUGUACUA
This is a long non-coding RNA of Erigeron canadensis, 1197 nucleotides long. RefSeq lists it as uncharacterized. The record is from RefSeq and is a predicted model, not a curated record. The transcript has 4 exons. NCBI's taxonomy places the organism in Eukaryota, Viridiplantae, Streptophyta, Magnoliopsida, Asterales, Asteraceae.